This is a long non-coding RNA of Thunnus maccoyii (southern bluefin tuna), 518 nucleotides long. RefSeq lists it as uncharacterized. The record is from RefSeq and is a predicted model, not a curated record. Lineage: Eukaryota; Metazoa; Chordata; Actinopteri; Scombriformes; Scombridae. The transcript is spliced from 3 exons.
ACGGCGGGGCAGGAGGAGGGCCGCGCGGAGCAUCGACAAUGAACCCGCACCAGAGGGAAUGCUCCUACUGUACAAGUGUGUGGCUGAAGAGGACGUUGCACGCUGGACCCUCUGAAAUGAAGCAAACGCUUGAAGAGUUGAGUGAGCGAGGUGUGCCAGGCCCCCACCAUAGGUACCCAUGGAGAUCUCCGGACUGAAAUAUUCAUUCUUGUUUGCUCGCCCAGACAGUGUGGUCCUAAUUGCAGCAUCAGAAAGCUCCACCUCUCCCUCUCGUCUGGUUUGGCUGCAGCGGAGACAAUCCUCACCUGGGAGCAGGAUGCCUGUGGUGUGUGUGUGAGGCUCUGGAGUUUUUCAUCAGUUCCUGUGCCAACCCAACCCGUGCCUGGCCAAGCUGAACCAUCUUGUGGGAUUUUUGGCUUUUAAUUAUAGUAAGAGAGGAUUAAUUAUGGCAGUGGAAACAAGGGGCCAUGCAUUAUUGAUGCUAUGAGUGAAAGGCUGGAGGGGGUAGAGGGUGCUAA